GGGCAUGUGGUGCAACUGGUAGACACGUACGCCUCAGAAGCGUAUCUCGCAAGAGUUGAGGGUUCGAGUCCCUCCAUGCCCA
RNAcentral lists this transfer RNA (82 nucleotides) under bacterium. Its description in RNAcentral is "tRNA-Leu". It matches the Rfam family "tRNA". Rfam says of the family: Transfer RNA (tRNA) molecules are approximately 80 nucleotides in length. Their secondary structure includes four short double-helical elements and three loops (D, anti-codon, and T loops). The record is from RNAcentral.